This is a long non-coding RNA of Zingiber officinale, 1973 nucleotides long. RefSeq lists it as uncharacterized. The transcript has 2 exons. The record is from RefSeq and is a predicted model, not a curated record. Lineage: Eukaryota; Viridiplantae; Streptophyta; Magnoliopsida; Zingiberales; Zingiberaceae.
AGGGUUUAAGGUAUUCGUCUGCCGCAUCACGCAGAUCUCUCGCUGUUCUUUCAUUCCUUGUUUUAACUCUUCCUCUGAUUGUUUUUGUUUUUUGAGUUUAUUUAAAGUCGAUUCGAAGGCCUAAUAUUGCAAUUGUUUGCUGCUUGUUUUAUGCUGCAGCAAGGAAUCUAUCCUUAGGCCAGAUUCAUUUCAUCCUUUUAGCUCCGAUGAUCUUCGUAUUCUUCUAAGAUUUUUCGGUGACAAGGUUGAUACAUUUCUUCUCCCCUUUGACACCUCAGUUUAAAAAAUUGAAUUUCGCGUCUAUAUUUCUUUUUAAAGGAUAACGUUUGAUUGAUGUCGAUUCUAGAUCUGUAUUCAUGUAAAUUCAAUUUUGAUCCGUUUCCUGCAUGAUGUUGGAUGAUGAAAAGAAUCAGACGGAUUCCCAUUGAUUUAUAAAGAUGAUAUCUUAACCAGCUACUUCUGACAUAUCAUGCUCUCUCACAGUAAGUUCAUUUGUUUUCUGAUUUUGUUAAUUUCUAAAAGGAUUUGCUCCUUUUAAAGAAAAAUAAUGAUUUUUGAUCCUGUAAUAUGAGUACAAGAAUGGAUGCUCUUUGAUGGGAUGAACUUUAUUUGUUGAUCUUUAACUAGGUAAUGCUUUUAAUGGUUUUGUUUUUUGUUUUUGUCCAGUUCAAGGAUUUUUCCUUAUAUUUUUCAAGACAAUGCUCCCUAGCCUAUGAAGUAAUAACAUUAUUUGCUAUUCUUGAUGGGAUAAAACCCUAUGUGAUGAUCCUUAUCCACCAAGAUCUCUGAGGCUAUUUCCUUUCUUAUUUCGAAUGAAAUAACUAGGUUUUUUUAUUUUUGAUUUCAAGUAAAGCAUUAUGGACAUAAUCUUCUUAUUUCGAAUGAAACAUUUUAUUUUAUUUUAUUUUACUCAUGUUUUGAUUGAAACUAGUUAAUGGAUUAAUCUCUUUUAAAAAUAAAUAUUAAUAAUAUUUAAAUUUUAGAAUUUUGUUGAUAUGCAUAUUGGAUUUGGUUUUAUAGUUUACAAUUUAUUUGUCUCACUAAAAGUAAUUUUAAAUCGGCCACAAGUGUGAUGCUUGGAGCUAUUCCUGAGGAAAGAUCUUUGGGACCUCUUGUUCUGGUUCCCUUUUGGUCUAUUCUGUAAUUGACUUGUUGGAUCCUGUGAUAUCUUUUGGGUUUAUCUUUUUAUCUAGGUUGCAAUUUGAGUCAGGACUGUCUUCUUUGCUUGGCACCUGGAGACCCUUCCACAUCAGGCGGCCGGUUCUGAUUCAAAUUACGAUUUAGAUAUAAGAGAACCUGUAAUCAAUUGUGGUUGGAAUUUGACUGCUGUCUGAUGUGCUAUUACAGAGUGGAUUAGGAGGUUUCCAGGACAAGAGGUUCCUACUUAAUUCCUGUGUGGGUGUUUUUUAUCGUCCAGAAAAGAAAAAAGCAGGUUGAAGGAGGCUGUGCAUCGUUGGCUUAUGAUCUGAUCUACAAUGCUUCUCCUAACAGCUUCAUCAACUGAAACUCUUUCUGGCAUUCUAAAUGCACAGUUCAAUUCCAGAAAACUCUCAACCGACCUUUCCCCAGCUCGAAAAGUUUUAAGGCAAUUCCUACAUUGUACUGGAAGAUUAUAGCUGCUAAGUUUUGCAACAAGAUUCUGAUCGAACGACGCUUUAGUAAUCUUCAGAUGGUUAUUAAACAAGCUGGGUUUACUACCACCAUGCAAAAAUUGGCACCCCUAAACAACGCUGGUGGCUGCUGAAUUCCUUUGCAUCCUUGUGUGCCUCGGCUCUCCCUCUGAGAGGAAAAGAAUUGGUACAAUGAGUGAGACUUUGAUUCCUUGAUAAGAAUGUCUUAUAAAAUACAAAGCUGGUGAUAGAGAUCCCCUCCACCAAUUUGCUUUCUUACCUGAUUUGUUGCUUCUUAAUGGACCAUUUGUGACGUAUUCAAAAAUGAGAUAUAAUCUGCCUACACUUGAAUCAUCGAUGUAA